ACUUUCCGUCCCAAGGUUGUUCAGAUGGGUGGAAAACAGCAAUUCCCUUACAUGGUGGAUCCAAAUACUGGAACUGCAAUGUAUGAAUCAGAUGAUAUAAUUAAGUAUCUAGUUGGAAAAUAUGGUGAUGGAAAUGUUCCUUUUAUGUUGUCACUUGGCCUUUUAACGACCUUGACGGCUGGGUUUGCUAUGAUUGGCCGUAUGGGAAAGGGAUCAUCAUAUUCUCCAUCAAAAUUGCCACCUAAACCACUUGAAAUAUGGUCAUAUGAGGGUUCCCCAUUCUGCAAAAUUGUUCGUGAAGCACUUGUUGAGUUAGAGUUACCGCAUAUUCAGCACAGUUGUGCUCGUGGCAGUUCUAUAUCAGAAAGCUGGACACUUUCAGGUACCAUAUUUGGAAGAUCCAAAUACUGGGGUGCAGAUGUUUGAAAGUGCUGACAUUGUGGACUAUCUAAAAGCAACUUAUGCUCAAUAAGCAAAGCUAGCAACAAGCUUUCUCCUCUCUUUAUCUCUCUCUCCCUGCGCCGCUUUCUCUCGUUGGAACUGUAACCAAAAUAUUUCCACAGGCAUAUUCCAAGUAUCAAUCCUUUUUCUUCUAAUCAAAUGAAGCGGCAUUUUAUUGCUUCCUAGACAAAGCCUGUUAGAUUUCAUGAUGUAAUGAUGUUAGUAUUUGUUGUUUAGAUGUACAUAUAGGACUUCCAAUUCAUGCUUAGACAUGAUGUUGCCUUGAUGGAUCUGAAGUUCAAAGUUUGGUUACAGU
Molecule: unclassified non-coding RNA, 757 nt
Filed under: Hevea brasiliensis (rubber tree)
Lineage: Eukaryota; Viridiplantae; Streptophyta; Magnoliopsida; Malpighiales; Euphorbiaceae
Source: RNAcentral